RNAcentral lists this transfer RNA (76 nucleotides) under Shewanella putrefaciens. RNAcentral describes it as "tRNA-Pro". The record is from RNAcentral. Lineage: Bacteria; Pseudomonadati; Pseudomonadota; Gammaproteobacteria; Alteromonadales; Shewanellaceae.
GACAAGACUAUCGUCGCAGGAAAUCGUAAUAGAUUGUUAUUUUAUUCACUGUCAGGCUAAUACUGUGCAUCAUGAU